CCGCGGUGAAUACGUUCCCGGGCCUUGUACACACCGCCCGUCACACCAUGGGAGCUGGGUGUACCUAAAGUCGGUAACCGCAAGGAGCCGCCUAGGGUAAAACUAGUAACUGGGGCU
RNAcentral lists this ribosomal RNA (117 nucleotides) under uncultured bacterium. Its description in RNAcentral is "partial 16S ribosomal RNA". It matches the Rfam family "Bacterial small subunit ribosomal RNA", at positions 1357 to 1482 of the family's 1533-position model. The record is from RNAcentral.